This 253-nucleotide ribosomal RNA is filed under the name uncultured bacterium. RNAcentral's name for it is "partial 16S ribosomal RNA". It matches the Rfam family "Bacterial small subunit ribosomal RNA", at positions 524 to 776 of the family's 1533-position model. The record is from RNAcentral.
UACGUAGGGGGCAAGCGUUGUUCGGAAUUACUGGGCGUAAAGGGCUCGUAGGCGGUUUGUCGCGUCGGGAGUGAAAACCUUGGGCUUAACUCAGGGCUUGCUUUCGAUACGGGCAGACUAGAGGUAUGCAGGGGAGAACGGAAUUCCUGGUGUAGCGGCGAAAUGCGCAGAUAUCAGGAGGAACACCGGUGGCGAAGGCGGUUCUCUGGGCAUGAUCUGACGCUGAGGAGCGAAAGUGUGGGGAGCGAACAGG